GAUGAAGAACGUAGCGAAAUGCGAUAAGUAGUGUGAAUUGCAGAAUUCCGUGAAUCAUCGAAUCUUUGAACGCACAUUGCGCCUUCUGGUAUUCCGGAAGGCAUGCCUGUUCGAGAGUCAUUAACAACCGUUUCGAUCCCUUUCUUUCAGAAAUUACAAAGAGGAAAAGGGUUUGGUUAUGGUGGAGGAGGGAAAGGGAGCGUUUAGCCUGUAAAAAAAGAGGCUGUGUUCCGCCUCCCCCCCAAAAUUGUACAGGCGGUCGUGUGCGCCCACGCAUCGAGGUGUUGUAAAAGCUGCCACGGCACUUAUCACCUGUGCAGUGCGAGAUUGGCCAGCCGGUUUAAAAACCCCUCCAAACAAUCAAAGGUUGACCUCGGAUCAGGUAGGGAUACCCGCUGAACUUAAGCAUAUCAAUAAGCGGAGGA
RNAcentral lists this unclassified non-coding RNA (425 nucleotides) under soil metagenome. RNAcentral's name for it is "partial contains 5.8S ribosomal RNA, internal transcribed spacer 2, and large subunit ribosomal RNA". The stretch from base 1 to 120 matches the Rfam family "5.8S ribosomal RNA", at positions 35 to 154 of the family's 154-position model. The record is from RNAcentral.